AUGUGUGAAGAUUAUUGGUCUGCGGCACGGGAAUUAGACAACAUAGCCUACAUGGAUGAAAAGUGGUUCAACAUGACUGGGGAGGUGAACAACUACUAUUUGCUUCCCGAAGAACCCGACCCCUUGCGCACCUUGCAUCAUAAGGAUAGCAUCGCCAAGGUGAUGUUUCUCGCAGCCGUGGCUAAACCAAGAUACGACAAAGGUGGUGAGGUCACUUUUGAUGGAAAGCUCGGCAUUUGGGCUUUUGUCACAGAGUCUCCUGCUCAAAGAACCAGUGAAAACAGAGAUAAAGGGACGCUCGAGCUCAAAUCAUUGAAAGUCACACGAGAUGUAAUGAGGUAUUACAUGUGUGAGAAACUUAUUCCUGCGAUCCAAGAGCGCUAG
This 384-nucleotide ribosomal RNA is filed under the name Triticum aestivum (bread wheat). Its description in RNAcentral is "partial small subunit ribosomal RNA". The record is from RNAcentral. Lineage: Eukaryota; Viridiplantae; Streptophyta; Magnoliopsida; Poales; Poaceae.